RNAcentral lists this ribosomal RNA (1343 nucleotides) under uncultured bacterium. RNAcentral describes it as "bacterial SSU rRNA". It matches the Rfam family "Bacterial small subunit ribosomal RNA", at positions 28 to 1381 of the family's 1533-position model. The record is from RNAcentral.
GAUGAACGCUAGCGGCAGGCUUAACACAUGCAAGUCGAGGGGUAGUUAUCUUCGGAUAAUGAGACCGGCGCACGGGUGCGUAACGCGUAUGCAAUCUACCUUAUACAGGGGGAUAGCCCAGAGAAAUUUGGAUUAAUACCCCAUAGUAUUACGAAAUCGCAUGGUUUUGUAAUUAAAGUUCCAACGGUAUAAGAUGAGCAUGCGUCCCAUUAGCUAGUUGGUGUGGUAACGGCACACCAAGGCAACGAUGGGUAGGGGUCCUGAGAGGGAGGUCCCCCACACUGGUACUGAGACACGGACCAGACUCCUACGGGAGGCAGCAGUGAGGAAUAUUGGUCAAUGGGCGCAAGCCUGAACCAGCCAUGCCGCGUGCAGGAUGACGGUCCUAUGGAUUGUAAACUGCUUUUGUACAAGAAGAAACACUUCCUCGUGAAGGAAGCUUGACGUACUGUAAGAAUAAAGAUCGGCUAACUCCGUGCCAGCAGCCGCGGUAAUACGGAAGAUCCAAGCGUUAUCCGGAAUCAUUGGGUUUAAGGGUCCGUAGGCGGUUUUAUAAGUCAGUGGUGAAAUCUGGUCGCUCAACGAUCAAACGGCCAUUGAUACUGUAGAACUUGAAUUACUUGGAAGUAACUAGAAUAUGUAGUGUAGCGGUGAAAUGCUUAGAGAUUACAUGGAAUACCAAUUGCGAAGGCAGGUUACUACAAGUGGAUUGACGCUGAUGGACGAAAGCGUGGGGAGCGAACAGGAUUAGAUACCCUGGUAGUCCACGCCGUAAACGAUGGAUACUAGCUGUUUGGAGCAAUCUGAGUGGCUAAGCGAAAGUGAUAAGUAUCCCACCUGGGGAGUACGCUCGCAAGAGUGAAACUCAAAGGAAUUGACGGGGGCCCGCACAAGCGGAGGAGCAUGUGGUUUAAUUCGAUGAUACGCGAGGAACCUUACCAAGGCUUAAAUGGGAAACGACAGGUUUGGAAACAGACUUUUCUUCGGACGUUUUUCAAGGUGCUGCAUGGUUGUCGUCAGCUCGUGCCGUGAGGUGUCAGGUUAAGUCCUAUAACGAGCGCAACCCCUGUUGUUAGUUGCCAGCGAGUCAAGUCGGGAACUCUAACAAGACUGCCAGUGCAAACUGUGAGGAAGGUGGGGAUGACGUCAAAUCAUCACGGCCCUUACGCCUUGGGCUACACACGUGCUACAAUGGACGGUACAGAGAGCAGCCACUACGCAAGUAGGAGCGAAUCUACAAAACCGUUCUCAGUUCGGAUCGGAGUCUGCAACUCGACUCCGUGAAGCUGGAUUCGCUAGUAAUCGCAGGUCAGCCAUGCUGCGGUGAAUACGUUCCCGGGCCU